GUGGGGAAUAUUGGACAAUGGGCGAAAGCCUGAUCCAGCCAUGCCGCGUGUGUGAAGAAGGUCUUCGGAUUGUAAAGCACUUUAAGUUGGGAGGAAGGGCAGUAAGUUAAUACCUUGCUGUUUUGACGUUACCGAUAGAAUAAGCACCGGCUAACUUCGUGCCAGCAGCCGCGGUAAUACGAAGGGUGCAAGCGUUAAUCGGAAUUACUGGGCGUAAAGCGCGCGUAGGUGGUUUUGUAAGUUGGAGGUGAAAUCCCCGGGCUCAACCUGGGAACUGACUCAAAAACUGCAUGACUAGAGUACGGUAGAGGGUAGUGGAAUGUACUGUGUAGCGGUGAAAUGCGUAGAUAUAGGAAGGAACACCAGUGGCGAAGGCGACUACCUGGACUGAUACUGACACUGAGGUGCGAAAGCGUGGGGAGCAAACAGGAUUAGAAACCCGGGUAGUCC
RNAcentral lists this ribosomal RNA (450 nucleotides) under uncultured bacterium. RNAcentral's name for it is "partial 16S ribosomal RNA". It matches the Rfam family "Bacterial small subunit ribosomal RNA", at positions 354 to 796 of the family's 1533-position model. The record is from RNAcentral.